RNAcentral lists this long non-coding RNA (499 nucleotides) under Homo sapiens (human). RNAcentral's name for it is "HSALNT0396540". The record is from RNAcentral. Lineage: Eukaryota; Metazoa; Chordata; Mammalia; Primates; Hominidae.
UCUCAGGUGAUCUGCCCACCUCGGCCUCCCAAAGUGCUGGGAUUACAGUAGUGAGCCACCGCACCUGGCACCACAGUUUCUACAGAGAAGUAAAACCCUACCUUCAGCAAGUACCUGAAUUUGGCUCCAAGUUGCAAAACUACCUCCUGUCAUGAAGAUGUGGGAAGUUUAUCUUUCAUAGAAUAUAAUCAACUGACCUCCCCAAUUCCCAGAAUCAGUCUCAGUGUUUCCUGUUUGGAUUGCCAUGAGGACAUCAACCCAGAGUGACUGUAGACCCUCUUCCCAGCACCUGAGAGUCUUUGAGACAUUUGAGGUUGUUGUGUGCAGACUGGGAUGGGAGUUGUUCCAGUUUUCACUUGGGUGAAAAAAAAGGAGAGCUGGAGACUGAUCAACCAAUUACUUUCAUUUCAUAUGGCGAUUAGAAAAACAGAUGAGGCAAUCAUAAUCUCUGCAAUCCAGGAACUGUGUCUGUGGCAAAUGAAUAAAUGGCUGAAUUUCA